RNAcentral lists this ribosomal RNA (301 nucleotides) under uncultured bacterium. RNAcentral's name for it is "partial 16S ribosomal RNA". It matches the Rfam family "Bacterial small subunit ribosomal RNA", at positions 509 to 807 of the family's 1533-position model. The record is from RNAcentral.
CAGUAGCCACGGUAAUAAGAAGGGGGCUAGCGUUGCUCGGAAUUACUGGGCGUAAAGGGAGCGUAGGCGGAUCGUUAAGUUGGGGGUGAAAGCCCGGGGCUCAACCUCGGAACUGCCUUCAACACUGGCGAUCUUGAGUAUGAGAGAGGUGUGUGGAACUCCGAGUGUAGAGGUGAAAUUCGUAGAUAUUCGGAAGAACACCAGUGGCGAAGGCGACACACUGGCUCAUUACUGACGCUGAGGCUCGAAAGCGUGGGGAGCAAACAGGAUUAGAUACCCCAGUAGUCCCUGUCUCUUAUAC